GAUGAACGCUGGCGGCGUGCCUAAUACAUGCAAGUCGAGCGAAAAGAUGAGGAGCUUGCUCCUCUGAAGUUAGCGGCGGACGGGUGAGUAACACGUGGAUAACCUACCUAUAAGACUGGGAUAACUUCGGGAAACAGGAGCUAAUACCGGAUAAUAUAUUGAACCGCAUGGUUCAAUAGUGAAAGACGGUUUUGCUGUCACUUAUAGAUGGAUCCGCGCCGCAUUAGCUAGUUGGUAAGGUAACGGCUUACCAAGGCAACGAUGCGUAGCCGACCUGAGAGGGUGAUCGGCCACACUGGAACUGAGACACGGUCCAGACUCCUACGGGAGGCAGCAGUAGGGAAUCUUCCGCAAUGGGCGAAAGCCUGACGGAGCAACGCCGCGUGAGUGAUGAAGGUCUUCGGAUCGUAAAACUCUGUUAUUAGGGAAGAACAAAUGUGUAAGUAACUAUGCACGUCUUGACGGUACCUAAUCAGAAAGCCACGGCUAACUACGUG
Molecule: ribosomal RNA, 497 nt
Filed under: uncultured bacterium
Lineage: Bacteria
Description: partial 16S ribosomal RNA
Rfam family: Bacterial small subunit ribosomal RNA
Source: RNAcentral